This 492-nucleotide ribosomal RNA is filed under the name uncultured bacterium. Its description in RNAcentral is "partial 16S ribosomal RNA". It matches the Rfam family "Bacterial small subunit ribosomal RNA", at positions 30 to 507 of the family's 1533-position model. The record is from RNAcentral.
CGAACGCUGGCGGCGUGCUUACCACAUGCAAGUCGACCGGAAAGGCCUGCUUUCCCUUGUGGAUUGCGGGUGCUCGAGUGGCGAACGGGUGAGUAACACGUGAGUGAUCUGCCCCCAACUUGGGUAUAAGCCUGGGAAACUGGGUCUAAUUCCCGAUAGGACUGCAGGGUGGUGCCUGUGGUGGAAAACGAUUUUCUAGUGGUUGGGGAUGAGCUCGCGGCCUAUCAGCUUGUUGGUGGGGUAAUGGCCUACCAAGGCGGCGACGGGUAGCCGGCCUGAGAGGGUGGACGGCCACAUUGGGACUGAGAUACGGCCCAGACUCCUACGGGAGGCAGCAGUGGGGAAUAUUGCACAAUGGGCGGAAGCCUGAUGCAGCGACGCCGCGUGGGGGAUGACGGCCUUCGGGUUGUAAACUCCUUUCGACCGCGAGGAAGCCACCUGGUUGGAAGGGUGGUGACGGUAGUGGUAGAAGAAGCACCGGCUAACUACGUG